GAGAGUCGGCGAGUGUGAGGGCGGAUCCCGGAGGUGGCCAAGCCAAUGGCUCACCGCGAGAGGCCGGGGGGCGGGGAAGACUGCAGCCGCGUGCCCAACCCGAGGCCCGGGAGGUGGUUGGGGAGUGAAUUUUCUGGAAGGCGACUUUAAAGGCGCCGGGCCAGAGCGAAGGGCGUUUGAGUGCCGCCGCCGCCGCCGCAGCCGCUGUCCGGCCUGGGGAGGGGGUGCUUUAGAAGCAGGAAGCGAGGAACACCGAAGUGGUCGCGGGAGCACCUGGUGACCCCCAGAGGAUGAACCACAAGAGCAAGAAGCGGAUCCGCGAGGCCAAGCGGAGUGCGCGGCCAGAGCUCAAAGACUCGCUGGACUGGACCCGUCACAACUACUACGAGAGCUUCUCGCUGAACCCGGCGGCCGUGGCGGAUAACGUGGAAAGGGCAGACGCAUUACAGCUGUCGGUGGAAGAAUUUGUGGAGCGAUAUGAAAGACCGUACAAGCCCGUGGUUCUGCUGAAUGCCCAAGAGGGUUGGUCUGCGCAGGAGAAAUGGACCCUGGAGCGCCUAAAAAGGAAGUACCGGAACCAGAAGUUCAAGUGUGGUGAGGAUAAUGACGGCUACUCCGUAAAGAUGAAGAUGAAAUACUAUAUCGAGUACAUGGAGAGCACUCGGGACGACAGCCCCCUUUACAUCUUUGACAGCAGCUAUGGUGAACACCCCAAAAGAAGGAAACUUCUGGAAGACUACAAGGUGCCCAAGUUUUUCACUGAUGAUCUCUUCCAGUAUGCCGGGGAGAAACGCAGGCCCCCUUACAGGUGGUUUGUGAUGGGGCCACCGCGCUCUGGAACUGGAAUUCACAUCGACCCUCUGGGAACCAGUGCCUGGAAUGCCUUAGUUCAGGGCCACAAGCGCUGGUGCCUGUUUCCUACCAGCACACCCAGGGAACUCAUCAAGGUGACCCGUGAAGAAGGAGGGAACCAGCAAGAUGAAGCUAUUACCUGGUUUAGUGUCAUUCAUCCCCGGACCCAGCUUCCCACCUGGCCACCUGAAUUCAAACCCCUGGAAAUCUUACAAAAACCAGGAGAGACUGUCUUUGUACCAGGAGGCUGGUGGCAUGUUGUCCUUAAUCUUGACACCACCAUUGCCAUCACCCAGAAUUUUGCCAGCAGCACCAACUUCCCUGUUGUAUGGCACAAGACGGUAAGAGGGAGACCAAAGUUAUCGAGGAAAUGGUAUAGGAUCUUGAAGCAAGAACACCCCGAGUUGGCAGUCCUGGCUGACUCCGUUGACCUUCAGGAGUCCACAGGGAUCGCCUCAGACAGCUCCAGCGACUCGUCCAGCUCCUCCAGCUCCAGCUCGUCCGACUCGGACUCGGAGUGUGAGUCUGGGUCUGAAGGUGAUGGGACGAUGCACCGCAGGAAGAAGCGGAGAACAUGCAGCAUGAUGGGAAACGGGGACACCACCACCCAGGACGACUGUGUGAGCAAAGAGCGCAGCUCCUCCAGAGCCUGAGGGGCGGCCUCCUGCUUUUCCCCCCACUUGCACUGUCGCUUUGGGCACUCACACCAAGUGAGGCAGCCGUGAAGAGCUCGGGUUUUCUGUAAGGCCUUCAUCACGCCUCCCACGUCUGUGUUUACCGGAUUGGGUCGAAAUAAGGAUUAGGGACACUUGUGGAGGCCGGGCUCACCCCUGAGCCGAUAAAGAGACUCUCCCUGAGGUGGCUCCCGUGUACGCUGUUGGCGGCCACCUGACUCAGUUUUCACGUCUUCUGCUCCCACCUUCUCCUUUGUCUUCUUUGAAUUUGGAUACUCCUUCUCUGGUCCAAGCUUCUGUCUUCGGUCAAAUGCUGGUUUUGCUGCUUACUAAGAAUAGAUGGUCAAGAAGGUUCAGAGCUCAGCAAGCUCGGUGAAGCGUGCAACGCGGAAAGCUGGCGAGCUGUUGGGUGAGGAGGUCUGUGCUGUCUCGUCUAAGCCACGCUGCUCGACCUCGAGGCCGCAGGGCUGGGAUCCCUUGAGUGUCUCGCCGCGUCUGAUACUCCUCGAUGUUGGUGAGGAACCCUUGCCGUCGGAGAGCCGGCUGCGCGUGAGCAGGCCCGCGGGGUGAGUGGACUCGGAUUUGUGUGUGAGCUGGCUACACGUAAAAAGUGCCGCGCACGCACCACCUCCCUGUGUGUCACCGUUUGUCCGGCGCCGCACUCCGUGGCCGGGACCCAGCCCACGCGGGCAGCACCGCUCACCAGCGCGAGUGCGGGCUUAGGCCGCGUUACCUUCUCGCCACCGCCAGAGAGGCUCUUCAGCUCCGGCAGCAUUUUUGUGUGGUGUGUUUUGGGGGAGGGAUGACAUGUCAGGGUUUUUGUCUGGGAACAGUGAGAAAGGUGUUCCAUGUGUUCGUAUUGCAGAAUUCAAGUUGUGAGUAGGGCCAGCUUCUAACAGAUGUGUCCUGUUCUUUCCUGCCACGUGAUCCAUAAGGCAGACGCUCUCACUGUAAGAGACUUCACGAUUAGGGUCCCUGUUUGUUUGACCAGCAGACAUUCGGUGGGUGGCUUGUGCUACGUGUCUGGAAUAAAUCCAUAUAUGGUGCUUCUAGUCUUUGGGAUCUGUUUAGGCUUCUAAAUAACUCUGGUAUGAAUCCUUGGGGAUUGACAGCAGGUUCCAUCUCUUGCCCUCUCAGUUCACCUGCUUGCCUUAAUCUGUCCCUAAAUUCAGCUAAAUUUAAAUAAAAGUAAGAGUGGGCUUGUCAAGGAUGUGCCCAGUGAAAAGCACUGAGCAGCAUGCCCUGUUCUGGGCCGGGGUAUAGGGAAGGGCGUGAGCUGCCAGAGGGCAGCAGGAGCUCUCGCUGCAGCAUCCCAGGGGGCAGAGGCGUGCAUGCAGACGGCCUGGAAUUGUAUGGUGUUGCCUCCCCAGAUCCUCCCUAAACAUGGGUGUGAUCCGGGGAAUCCAGGGCUCUUCUGUGCAAAGGCUGUAUUUUUAACAGACUGAUGAUCAUUUCUUGAUACUGGCUCCGUCAUGUGGCUUUCCUCUAGGAGGCUGGUCCCCUGCUUUGUCUUAAUUUUCUGCAUUCUCUAAUGCCAGUCCCAAUACGUGGCCACAUUGGAUGGAGAACGUCCACCAUGUUCCUCGGUGUUGGCGCCUGUCACCUGUCCCUUGGUGCUGCUCCCCUUUCCCAUCAGGCCACCCGGGCUCAGGCAUCCCUGCUUCCAUUCCAGGGUGUGUUUGGGUGUGAGUAAAGUCAAACCCUGAACUACGUGUUGUCUGUGUUCACACCUGAAUGGGGUUCCUCUGUCUCCUUUUUAAAAUGUUCUUGCCGUAUUCUAGAAUGCUUUUUUCUUUACCCCACUAUUGCUACCGGGCUAUCACGCCUUCCUCUCUAAUUCAUAUCAACUUCUCUCUAAACGUCAGUGUAAAGAAAAAAAACCAAAAGGCUGUUUGCCGCCAGGGGGCAGGAUAGGAUACUUUUGUGUGAUGACGGUAGAAGUUUGAAUGGGAGAGAUUAGCCUUCCCGAGAGGCCAAAGGUGAUUCUUGUUUGACAAACAAUAUCCAGAAAUCAGGGAUCCAGCCCACCUGAGAGCCCGCAGUCACCUCACCGGAAAGCAUCUGGAUCACACAGCUUUGCAUGGUGCCGUUUGGCUCUUACCACCCCAUGAGUGACCAUGGGACAGUCUUUGUUUUAGCCAGGCCAGGGAUUCAACACCCCCCACUCCACCCGUUACUGUCACUAUGGGCCAGCCAAGCACACCAUUACGGAAAUAAAGCAGGGAUGAGGUGGGGAAACCAUGAGAGAGGAGUGCUGUGAUGGCUGGGUGCUAGGGACAAGAUAGGAAGUGGGAACCAGGGUCCAUCUGUUCUAAAGUUAACCCUUCACCCCACCUGGUUUGAGCUCUUUUAAGUGGUGUCAGCAAUAGUAAGGGCAAGGACACGACAUGAAACUUUUUUAGGGAUUCUUCUCCAACUGGAAACCAGCAAGCUGGGUCCCGGAAGAAGGGUUCUUGGACCAGUAACUACUGAUAGGGAGGAGCAGAUUGGAGGAAGACAGCGUGGGGCCCUGGGGCUUUGGGGGUGAGCGCCGAAGACUUUACCGUCAGCCAGAAGUAUCCAGUGCCACACACAGGUGUCCUUGGGGUCAUUAGUAUUGCUGGGAUGUUCAGGGUGACACCUUUGAGGGGAGAGCCACCAAACAGGGAUGUUGUUCACAUUUGGCUCUGGCUUCCAGAUGCCCGUUUAUGAAUCAUCCAAGCGAUCAGCCUGUGUUUGAGUGCCGGGCACUGCUCUAGGUGCUGGACACGCAGCAGGGAUGAGCCCAGGUCCCUCCCCUCAUGGUGCUGAAAGACAGAGUGCCACGCACGGCUCCCAAGGGUCACUGGUCAGGGUAGGUAGAGUCAAGCACAUCCAUUUUCAUAACCAGAAAAGCAAGGUCAGGCCUUACUAAAUUAAGGUUUAUGAGAUCUUCAUAAAAGAACAUAAUUAACAUCACAGUUUUGUUGUUAGUAUCUGGUUUCUCUCUAAAUUAGCUAAAGAUAUUUAAGGAUUGGCAAGGAAGUUGCUGGUAUAAGUGCUUUAUGAACUUACUAGAGGUUCGGCCUGGAUGUGAUUUAGGACCUUAGACAACAGUGGGGGACAGAAUAGGAGUUUUGCCGUAAAUAUUGUAAAAAAGUGCUUUCUAGGGUGUAGGCGCGUACGUGCACAGCUGUAGGUUCCUUGAAUUGUGUGUAGUGUUUCCACAAAUAAGUUGUUUGUCAUUGUGUGCUGCGUACUGCCGAUGGUUCCCUGUGGAGUCUGGUUUCUGCUCACACUCCCCCCUCCUCCCUGCCUCUGUCAAGAUGUUCCACUGACGUUACAUUACAUACAGCAAAACUAGGUGAACCUCGUGUCCUGGCCCCCUCGGGUGGUGGCUCGUGACUUUCGUCUCAUCAUUAGUUCAAAAACGUGAGACGUCUAGCCCCCACCGAAUGUCCCAUGAGAACUGGCCCGGCCUCCUGUGUCCAAGGUGACUGGACAGUGCAGAAGAACGGGGACCGUGCAGAGUCCUUGUGCCUCCUGCAGCUGCCACAGAGACACCCAGCAGCCUGCUACGUCUGCUUUCGUCUCGCCGUGGGCUCCACCACAGGAUGCCUGUGGCUCCGCCGUUCGAUGGGUAUUUUUAACUUUCACUUGGAUGAAACUUGUUCAUCAUUUUAAAUAAAGCAACUUGAUUUGGA
RNA transcript from Ailuropoda melanoleuca (giant panda), 5188 nucleotides. It is a transcript of the gene named jumonji domain containing 6, arginine demethylase and lysine hydroxylase, with no coding region annotated. The record is from RefSeq and is a predicted model, not a curated record. Lineage: Eukaryota; Metazoa; Chordata; Mammalia; Carnivora; Ursidae. The transcript has 8 exons.